UGAGUCUCUGUAGGUCCUCUCGAGUAAUCCAUGAAUCAUCAGAUUCUGGUCGACUCUCCCAGUGAACCAAAUAGCAUUGGUACCCUUUGUUCCGGGUGGUGAUAGCUUGAUCAUCCAAGACAUGUUCAACCCUAUCUCUCGGUUCUGGAAAUGUGGCUGGAGGGCACUCAGGUGUGGGUUCACUCUCAAUGGGAACAUGAUCAAAAGGCUCACUAGGUAUCAAUGUUGGUCCCUUAUACUCUAUAAGGUUCGAGAUGUUGAAGGUCGAGCUAAUACCAAAAUCAAGGGGUAAGUCAACCACAUAAGCGUUAGGUUCAAUUUUCUUUAAUAUCCUAAAUAGACCUGCACUGCGGGCAUGCAAUUUUUU
Molecule: long non-coding RNA, 367 nt
Filed under: Phoenix dactylifera (date palm)
Lineage: Eukaryota; Viridiplantae; Streptophyta; Magnoliopsida; Arecales; Arecaceae
Description: long non-coding RNA (PDAC_LNC018199)
Source: RNAcentral